CUCUCCCUCUCCCUCUCUCAUUCCCUCUCCCUCUCGACUGCAACCCUUGAGCGACGCACCCCCUUCACCCGAGCGAAAAUCCACCCCUGCGGCCCCCCACCCUUCACCUCUUCUCCGUCUCUCCUCUCUGACCAGGUCUUUCGAUCUUCCUCUAUUCAAUUGAUCCAGUGUCGAUUGACAUUUACAGACAGUUGACUCAAAGAAUGUUGUUGCCUUGCCUGCUGAUCUAGUUGCUGAAGUUGUUGCUGUCUCUGGAGCUCCUGUAGUUGCUUGUGCAUGACUUACUGUUGCCACAAUUGCAUAUCGUUUAAACCCAUCUGGUGGGUCAUUAAAAGCAGCCAACAAAUGUUUUAUUUUCUCCUCUUUAAUUCAAUUAUAUUUGCUGACCAAUUGAAAAGGAGUUUUGAGUCUCAGGGUUCAAGAUUGAAGAAUUCAAGAAUUGAAUUAUCUGUCAUGUUUGGCAGCCUUUAAUCAGAAUCCUCCAAAAUGUGUAUUAGAUUAUAAUUGUGAUUCAUUGCAGUAGUGCAUUCCAAUGCACCCCGAGUAAGUUUCUUGGCUGACAUGUAAUCUUUAUGUAUUUCACUAUUUAGUGGUUACCCUGAUUGUAUGUAUAUCUUUCAUCUAUGUGUGUGUGUGUGUGUGUACACACACAUUGACAUGAAAAUUCCUAGAUUUGACAGAGGCAUCAUUAUCAGGUGCAACAAUAUCCAUUUUAGCAGCACUUACAAUGAUGUUUUUCUUCUGAAUGGUAUGUUUUACUUGUACAUUUUCUUCUUAAGUAAUUAACAGUAUUUAUAAAUCGAUACAUGCUUCAUUCUUCUUGCCUUCAGGCUUCAAUCUAAUGCUUUAUUGAUCACUUCGUUUGUUUAUCCUCACAAGCACCACAUGUAGGAUUUGGGACUGGAUUUUGAACUGUUUGGGGCUGGCUUGUUAGGCCAUUACUAUUCAAAAUUUUAAUUUGCUCAGCUCAACUUUUAGAGGAUGGCCUGUUUACACCCUUAACUAUUCAAAUGAAGCAGAUACAGAGUCCAUUUCAACAUUGAGACUAGGGAUGGAGUGCAAAAGAUCAUACAUCUUUUCGUUUAUAUUGAGGAGAACCAUGGAAGGCAAUUGGCUUUUCAGUUUCUGAGCGGUGUGUGUUUGUGGUGCUUUAAGCAUUCCUUUUGAUAUGUUUGUGGUGCUUUUCAGUUUCUUUUCCCAUAUUUUUUACUUAUUACUUGAUUAUGUACUUAAGUUACAUGGGUUUGUGUUUGUUUGGAAAAGAAAAGCUCUUUUGAAUAAUUCUAAUGUCAUAAUGUAGUUUGCCAAACUCAAUUUAUGGAUCUCAAUGCAGAUGUCUUAUGGGCCACAGAUUUUGGCGAGGUUGUUAUAUUAAACGUAAGGCGUGUUUGGAUGCAAGGCAUGCUCAGUUGAAUUGAACUAAAGGAAACAAAGAAAAAUGGAAAAAAAAAUCUUGAAUCAGGUAUCAUUAUUCUAAUUUGAAUGAGGUUGGCAUUGCAUAUCAUGUAUUUUAAUUCAGACUCAAAAUCAUCUGAAUUUGCAGUUUCGGCCUUUUCCCCUCUAGUAAUGUGCUUGUUACUCAUUUUUUGUCAAAGCGAAUGCUUUUUUGAAUUUGAAUGAAAUUAA
Magnolia sinica is the source of this 1626-nucleotide long non-coding RNA. RefSeq lists it as uncharacterized. The transcript is spliced from 4 exons. The record is from RefSeq and is a predicted model, not a curated record. NCBI's taxonomy places the organism in Eukaryota, Viridiplantae, Streptophyta, Magnoliopsida, Magnoliales, Magnoliaceae.